AUGCUCUCUUUGGCAGCAAAAACAUUAUAACUGAAAUGACAAAGAGCAGAUUAGCAUGGUCCUGUGCAAAGAAGACAUGCAACUUCGUGGCACAUUCAUAAUUAAA
Molecule: small nuclear RNA, 106 nt
Organism: Ochotona princeps (American pika)
Lineage: Eukaryota; Metazoa; Chordata; Mammalia; Lagomorpha; Ochotonidae
Source: Ensembl